This 323-nucleotide unclassified non-coding RNA is filed under the name soil metagenome. RNAcentral describes it as "partial contains 5.8S ribosomal RNA, internal transcribed spacer 2, and large subunit ribosomal RNA". The stretch from base 1 to 120 matches the Rfam family "5.8S ribosomal RNA", at positions 35 to 154 of the family's 154-position model. The record is from RNAcentral.
GAUGAAGAACGUAGCGAAAUGCGAUAAGUAGUGUGAAUUGCAGAAUUCAGUGAAUCAUCGAAUCUUUGAACGCACAUUGCGCCCCAUGGCAUUCCGUGGGGCAUACCUGUUCGAGCGUCAUUUCAACCCUCAAGCUCCGCUUGGUGUUGGGCCCUGCCCCCGCGGCCGGCCCCAAAGACAGUGGCGGCGCCGCUCGGCCCUAAGCGUAGUACAUCUCUCGCUCUAGGACCCGGCGGUGGCCUGCCAGAACCCCCAACUCAUGUGGUUGACCUCGGAUCAGGUAGGGAUACCCGCUGAACUUAAGCAUAUCAAUAAGCGGAGGA